This 400-nucleotide ribosomal RNA is filed under the name uncultured bacterium. RNAcentral's name for it is "bacterial SSU rRNA". It matches the Rfam family "Bacterial small subunit ribosomal RNA", at positions 355 to 752 of the family's 1533-position model. The record is from RNAcentral.
UGAGGAAUAUUGCGCAAUGGAGGAAACUCUGACGCAGCCAUGCCGCGUGCAGGAAGAAGGCGCUACGCGUUGUAAACUGCUUUUAACCGGGAAGAAACCCCAGGACGUGUCCUGGGUUGACGGUACCGGAGGAAUAAGCACCGGCUAACUUCGUGCCAGCAGCCGCGGUAAUACGAAGGGUGCAAGCGUUAUCCGGAUUCAUUGGGUUUAAAGGGUGCGUAGGCGGGGCGUUAAGUCAGUGGUGAAAUCCUGCAGCUCAACUGUAGACUUGCCAUUGAUACUGGCGUUCUUGAGUGCGCUUGAAGUAGGCGGAAUGUGCCGUGUAGCGGUGAAAUGCUUAGAUAUGGCACAGAACACCAAUUGCGAAGGCAGCUUACUAAGGCGAUACUGACGCUGAGGC